GUCCACGCCGUAAACGAUGGAUACUAGCUGUUCGGGGCAACCUGAGUGGCUAAGCGAAAGUGAUAAGUAUCCCACCUGGGGAGUACGUUCGCAAGAAUGAAACUCAAAGGAAUUGACGGGGGCCCGCACAAGCGGUUGAGCAUGUGGUUUAAUUCGAUGAUACGCGAGGAACCUUACCAAGGCUUAAAUGUAGAUUGACCGGUUUGGAAACAGAUCUUUCGCAAGACAAUUUACAAGGUGCUGCAUUGUUGUCGU
This 255-nucleotide ribosomal RNA is filed under the name uncultured bacterium. RNAcentral describes it as "partial 16S ribosomal RNA". It matches the Rfam family "Bacterial small subunit ribosomal RNA", at positions 793 to 1055 of the family's 1533-position model. The record is from RNAcentral.